CGACAACUACCUCCUUACCCACCCGCUAGUGUACAACAGAAACCUCUACCAACUAGCUCUGUACAGUGCCAUCAUUGCCAACGCUGGGGACAUUAUAAGAGAGAAUGCCCGCAGCUAAAAGAUCGCUCCACCUGGAUCAGGCCCGGACUACCUCCACCACCUUGACAGGCAGCCCACUACUACCAAGUAGAGGCAACAAAUCCCUAUGGCACAGCAAUUCCCAUAAACACAGUG
This is a non-coding RNA of Pelobates cultripes (western spadefoot toad), 234 nucleotides long. Lineage: Eukaryota; Metazoa; Chordata; Amphibia; Anura; Pelobatidae. The record is from the annotation of a GenBank genome assembly.